AUGGCGUCGGCGUCGUCGUCGUCGUCCGCGGCCGCGAGGAGGACGCCCCGCGGCGGCCCCCCGAAGCACCGCCACGACGGCACCUCGCCGCUGCCGCUCGGCAUGGACUGGAGCCCGCCCCCCAAGCGAUGGGAGGGAAGGAACACCGUCUGGCCACAUAACCCUCAAACAGGCUGGAGUUACUGUGUGACGAUACCUUCUUGGAUUGCUCAAACACCCGAAGCUGGUGUAGCCUCUGACAACUUCUUGAAAUCUAUAGUUUUUUACAGGAUACAUGUUGGUAUACAAUCACCGGAAGGCGUUAGCUCUAGCCAUGGAGUUCUUCGAAGGUUUAGUGACUUUCUGAAGUUGUGUUCUGAUCUUAAGCGUGCUUUUCCCAGAACAGACAUCCCCCCUGCUCCACCGAAACAUGCCUUCUUAAGAAUAAAUUCAAGCAGGUUGCUUCUAGAAGAGAGAAGGAAUACUUUGGAGGAGUGGAUGCAAAAGCUACUUUCUGAUAUUGACUUAUCGAGAAGUGCUCAUGUUGCUGCUUUUCUUGAACUUGAAGCUGCCGCACGCUCAUAUUUCCAAGAUUGGAAUCAGCGUCCCCCCGAAGCAGGUACUUCAAUAAAAAGCAGUACAGACUCUUCUCGUCAUUCUGAUGAUCCUGGUUCAGGUGCUCUCUCUGAGUCCAGUCAAAUAAACCCGGGACUUGUUCGUAGCAUCAGUCUGACAGGAGUAACUGGUAACGGUGUGCUGGGAGAAUCUGUAUCAGGUCAGUCUGAUCAGCAUGCUGGUAGUGUGUCAAAAAGCAGGAAACAGGGUCUUGUCUUUUCGGAACAUGAUGGAAGGAAUGGUUCAGUAGAGUCUUCCAAGGGAGUAGUUUCUGAAGAGGAUUGUGAUUCUAACCCUGGUCAUGCUCGGAAGGAUUCUUCUGAAAGUUUAGGCAGUGAUUUGAGUUCUUUAAGAGGAAGUGAAUUGUCAACUCCAGGGGCUAGUAGUUCCCUAUGGGAUGGUCCUGUGGAUCUCCCAAGUGGUGUGGAUGGACAUAGUCAAACAGAAAAUCUUGCUGGUGUAGAUAUGCAGUUUUUGUAUGAUAUGGAUGCCCAAGUCAUCCUACCAACUGAUCAAAGACAGAAGUUGAGUAGACUUUUGGUAACCAUGCAAAGAAGAAUAGGGACAGCAAAAACCGAUAUGGAGGAUCUCAUAGCACGCCUAAAUCAGGAAGUAGCGGUCAAAGAAUAUCUUUCCACAAAGGUAAAAGACUUGGAGGGUGAGUUGGAAGCUACAAAGCAAAAAGGCAGAGACACAUUACAUCAAGCUAUCUUAGCUGAAAGAGAGAGGAUUACCCAGAUGCAAUGGGAUAUGGAUGAGCUUCGCAGGAAGUACUCUGAGAUGGAGUCAAACCUGAAGGCGGAACAAGAUGAGAAAACUCGUGUGGAAUCAGAGAAAGCUACCGCCAGUGGUAAUAGAGAAGAGUUAGCCGAAGAACUUGAAACGAAACGAAAAGAAGUUGAGAGUUUGCAACGGCAGCUUGGAGAAGUUGAGGCAAAAUCUAAAACAGAUAUGAAGGUUCUUGUUAAAGAAGUCAAGUCCCUUAGGAAUUCUCAAAGAGAGAUGAAGAAAGUGCUGAAUCAGUAUGUUGAGGAGAAGACUGAACUAGAGAGGAUUAUUAAUAGAGAGAAGCAGCGGUCAGCACGUGUGAAGUCAUCCCGUGAAAAAAUGCUUCAUGAAUGCCGACUGCUCCGUGAGCGUCUACAGGAAUGUAGUGCUAAAUUUCUUGCAGAAGAACAAGAUAACUUGACUGUUGACCCAUCAUCUUUGCCUGAUGCACUAGACCUUCUGGCGACGUCAGACAAUAGAAUACGCCUUCUUGUUGCUCAGGCUCAGCAUCUAGCACUGGACGACGAACAGGGGGGCUCUUCCGAUGAUGGCGAAAAUUCCGAUGGUAAAUCCUCAAUUACCAUGGGCAGCGAAGACUCGAGCCUCACCGACGAAGAGACAACAAAGAUGCUGUCCGACCUGCUCAUCGACAACGCGCAGCUGAGGAUGCACCUCAACUCCGUGAUCCGCAACGCUGUAAAUACCUCCGUGAAGCCGGGGAAGGAAGACGCGGACGGAGUCGUCCCGAAAAAGACGGUCCUCAACUGGCUGCUGGACAGAUAG
Molecule: ribosomal RNA, 2145 nt
Filed under: Triticum aestivum (bread wheat)
Lineage: Eukaryota; Viridiplantae; Streptophyta; Magnoliopsida; Poales; Poaceae
Description: partial small subunit ribosomal RNA
Source: RNAcentral